CCUACGGGAGGCAGCAGUGGGGAAUAUUGGACAAUGGGCGAAAGCCUGAUCCGGCCAUGCCGCGUGUGUGAAGAAGGUCUUCGGAUUGUAAAGCACUUUAAGUUGGGAGGAAGGGCAGUUACCUAAUACGUAUCUGUUUUGACGUUACCGACAGAAUAAGCACCGGCUAACUCUGUGCCAGCAGCCGCGGUAAU
This 194-nucleotide ribosomal RNA is filed under the name uncultured bacterium. RNAcentral describes it as "partial 16S ribosomal RNA". It matches the Rfam family "Bacterial small subunit ribosomal RNA", at positions 338 to 524 of the family's 1533-position model. The record is from RNAcentral.